ACGGCUCAGUAACACGUGGAUAACCUACCCAAGAGUCCGGGAUAACCCCGGGAAACUGGGGAUAAUACCGGAUAGGUCAAACUUGCUGGAAGGCUGUUUGGUUGAAACCUCCGGGGCUUUUGGAUGGGUCUGCGGCUGAUUAGGUUGUUGCCGGUGUAACGUACCGUCAAGCCUGUAAUCAGUACGGGUUGUGGGAGCAAGAGCCCGGAGAUGGAUUCUGAGACACGAAUCCAGGCCCUACGGGGCGCAGCAGGCGCGAAAACUCUACAAUGCAGGCAACUGCGAUAGGGGAACAUCGAGUGGCUGUCAUAUUGAUAGUCUGUCCACCCGCCUAAAAAGCGGGUGUUAGCAAGGGCCGGGCAAGACCGGUGCCAGCCGCCGCGGUAAUACCGGCGGCUCGAGUGGUGGCCGAUAUUAUUGAGUCUAAAGGGUCCGUAGCCGGCUUUGCAAGUCUCUCGGGAAAUCCAGCGGCUUAACCGUUGGUCGUCCGGGGGGUACUACAUUGCUUGGGACUGGGAGAGGUAGGAGGUACUCAGGGGGUAGGAGUGAAAUCCUGUAAUCCUUUGGGGACCACCGGUGGCGAAGGCGUCCUACCAGAACAGGUCCGACGGUGAGGGACGAAAGCUAGGGGCACGAACCGGAUUAGAUACCCGGGUAGUCCUAGCCGUAAACGAUGCUCGCUAGGUGUCGCAACAGUCGUGAACUGUUGCGGUGCCGCAGGGAAGCCGUGAAGCGAGCCACUUGGGGAAGUACGACCGCAAGGUUGAAACUUAAAGGAAUUGGCGGGGGAGCAC
Molecule: ribosomal RNA, 794 nt
Filed under: uncultured archaeon
Lineage: Archaea
Description: bacterial SSU rRNA
Rfam family: Archaeal small subunit ribosomal RNA
Source: RNAcentral